RNAcentral lists this ribosomal RNA (481 nucleotides) under Lodderomyces parapsilosis. RNAcentral describes it as "eukaryotic LSU rRNA". The stretch from base 152 to 305 matches the Rfam family "5.8S ribosomal RNA". Lineage: Eukaryota; Fungi; Ascomycota; Pichiomycetes; Serinales; Debaryomycetaceae. The record is from RNAcentral.
UGAAUUCGAUGAAGUGCUUACUGCAUUUUUUCUUACACAUGUGUUUUUCUUUUUUUGAAAACUUUGCUUUGGUAGGCCUUCUAUAUGGGGCCUGCCAGAGAUUAAACUCAACCAAAUUUUAUUUAAUGUCAACCGAUUAUUUAAUAGUCAAAACUUUCAACAACGGAUCUCUUGGUUCUCGCAUCGAUGAAGAACGCAGCGAAAUGCGAUAAGUAAUAUGAAUUGCAGAUAUUCGUGAAUCAUCGAAUCUUUGAACGCACAUUGCGCCCUUUGGUAUUCCAAAGGGCAUGCCUGUUUGAGCGUCAUUUCUCCCUCAAACCCUCGGGUUUGGUGUUGAGCGAUACGCUGGGUUUGCUUGAAAGAAAGGCGGAGUAUAAACUAAUGGAUAGGUUUUUUCCACUCAUUGGUACAAACUCCAAAACUUCUUCCAAAUUCGACCUCAAAUCAGGUAGGACUACCCGCUGAACUUAAGCAUAUCAAA